RNAcentral lists this small nucleolar RNA (107 nucleotides) under Mus pahari (shrew mouse). Its description in RNAcentral is "predicted gene, 22099 (MGP_PahariEiJ_G0034029.1)". It matches the Rfam family "Small nucleolar RNA SNORA17". Rfam says of the family: snoRNA ACA 17 belongs to the H/ACA family of snoRNAs and is predicted to guide pseudouridylation of the 28S rRNA at positions U4659 and U4598. It shares the same host gene together with ACA43. NB This family has a high threshold value to exclude a large number of closely related sequences that do not appear to have conserved H and ACA boxes, and may be pseudogenes. The record is from RNAcentral. Lineage: Eukaryota; Metazoa; Chordata; Mammalia; Rodentia; Muridae.
UCUGCCCACCCUGAGAGGCACUGAACAUGUAGUUCAGUAGGUGGCAGAGAGGAGAGAGGCAAUGGCUAAAGUUCUGACCUAUGAACAUCUGAAUGUGGCCCAACCUG